GUCGGUAAAUGCUCACCUCUGGAGCUGUAAUUAUCAUCUCUCCCAAGGGCCUAUCCCACGCUAUUCCGAGACAAGUGGGACAGCAGACUGGCGUGCACAUACACCAUUAGACCAUCUAAAUAUUCCAGUGAAGAAGUAAAAAAAAAUUGAGGAAAUCAGAGACGUAAGAGGAUGACGUGGAGACAGCAGUGGAUCCUGAAUACACGGACUAAAGGAUAAAAAUGAUAAGAAUGGAAGAGACUUUUUAUGGGAUCCUGUGAAAGAAAUGAAAUAAAAGGAGAAAUAGACAAUGGAAGCGUGGGCGCACACCAGAUGAAUGAGGAAAGAGGAGAUACUCUGGAGGAUUGACCUGUUGUACUCGAGGAUGAUCGCGAUAACGAAACAAUCGAACGGUACGCCACACUUGUACCGCCCUGUAACCGCUUUGAAGCGGCCAACCCCGUGGAUGUUGCGACACCAGGACUCGCUCUUUCUAUCCUAGAUAACCAGACCAACGUUAUUUUAUUUAUCUCCUCUAUUUUGCUACCGAAUUGAAGCCUCAAAUUCCUGGAGUUGUCGAAAAUUUCGGGAGUUAUUACCGAUAUCUCGUUUUUCAAUUUUUUUUUACGAAUUUAUGAGAAUGAUAAUUUAUGAAAUUGAGGAGAAAAAAUGGAGAACAUGAGAAUGGAUAGAUAUCGGGAAUAACUCCUUCGGUUUUAUUGUAUUUUUGAUUGAAAUAAUUAUCUUUUAUUUCUGUAAAUUUAAUGGAAAAUUGAUGGAAUUUAUAAACUUGCUAAUUUUUCAAUAAAUAUAUUUUCUUUAUUGACUGCUGGAUUAAAUCGACAUAACUCCAUCGAAGGAGAAGAGUAAGUGAGAUAAGUCGAUUUAACUCUUUCCCCGUGUACCAUAAAGCGAGAUAUAUCGAUAAAAUCAAAUAAAUUAUCACCUGCAGAAGGUGAAACGGAUUACACUGGGAAGUUAUUCAAAAUAAAAUCGAAUUAAUGAUUUAAAAAAAAUGACUGCCCCCAAGAAAUAUCUCCGGGAAUUUUGUAGCUAUUUUUUUUUUUUUUUGUUGAGUCUGUCUCGAUUUCUUUGUCCUUUCCCAGAAAAUCCCUCUGUCCAGAUUUUUUUUUCAACCACCCAAUGCGUGCCACACGGAAUGAUUUCGUCAUGGGGCACCCUGAGACCCAUGGCAAAUUCGAAUGUAUUCGCCUUCCAUACAAUUUCUUGAUCUCAAGUAUUGCCUCCCUCUCGCAUUCGACAGCGGCGUGAAACCGAGCAAAGGUCGUAUCUUCGCGCCUUUGGUGGUGCUCGGUUGGAGUUAAGAAACAUCACGAUCUUUUAGUGUAGGUAAAAUCGAUUGGAGAUGUCUUGGCUUUUGAAUAUAUAUGUACAGAUUUUAUGCCUCUUCCGCGCGUGCACACGAGGACGAAACUUACAGUUGUUGCCAAGAGGUCAUACCCGAGUUAAAAGCCGCCGUUGGCAGUUGUACAAUUUUCUUAUUCUAUCAUUUUUAACGCCUUUCUGCCAUUCACCCGAGGACUAUUUCAAAUUCUAAAUUGUCGAUAUGAGUCAAUAUGAAACUUUAUUAUUAAUCUAAUUAAUAAGUGCAUUACUGGACAUUGUUGUGGGCGACAAGUCGACAAGUUGCUAAAAUAAAAACGAAAAAAACUGGAAUUUAUCCACAUUCUUUCCGAUUUUAUCUCCUGCUCGUUCCAUUGUUAAUGCUUAAAUAUCUUAAUUAUUAAGAUAAAAUUUCUAAUUCUC
Molecule: long non-coding RNA, 1746 nt
Organism: Fopius arisanus
Lineage: Eukaryota; Metazoa; Arthropoda; Insecta; Hymenoptera; Braconidae
Exons: 3
Source: RefSeq, a predicted model, not a curated record